CUCCACUCACUUCAUCUGGUUCAAACCAAUAGCUAAUAUGCUCGUAAUAUCAAUGUCGUAUGCACAUUUUAACUAAUUGCCUGUAUUCUCCCUUCCUUCUUCCUCUCUUCAGAUGCAGCUCAAUCGAUCGAGGCACCAUGGAUAUGGAUAACCUUGGAAGCGCUCUCGAAAAAAUAAGCGUAAGUCAGAGAUGUCGAUCGAUGCAUACCUUAAAACAAAAUGCAAAUCCUGUCUUUCCAUGGACUACCUUGGUUCCUCCAGAUCCCUCCCAAGCCCUAGCUAUUUGUUUGUUAUAAUCCAGUAUAAUCUUCCAUGUCAUACUUGUAUCCUCUAAAAUUCUCAAGGUUUGUUUUACGAGAAUUCAAAGUCUCAAGUUUGUUUGUUGUUACCGAACUAUAUACUAGGUGAAUCACAUUCGAGUGUAUUUAU
Molecule: long non-coding RNA, 429 nt
Filed under: Oryza brachyantha (malo sina)
Lineage: Eukaryota; Viridiplantae; Streptophyta; Magnoliopsida; Poales; Poaceae
Description: long non-coding RNA (OBRA_LNC003144)
Source: RNAcentral